RNAcentral lists this long non-coding RNA (1125 nucleotides) under Marmota monax (woodchuck). Lineage: Eukaryota; Metazoa; Chordata; Mammalia; Rodentia; Sciuridae. The record is from RNAcentral.
GGAGUCUCCAAACCUUGGAAAUAAUCAUUUAAUAAUUUAAUGCACUUGAUGUAUUGAGGGUUUGUUUUGUUUUGUUUUUAAAAUGGGAUCUUGCUAUAUUGUCUAGGCUAGUGUCCCUGGGUUCAAGCAAUCCUCCUGCUUCACCUUCCCAAAGAGUUGGGACUAUAGGCAUGUGUGCUAUCACACCCAGCAUAUAUUAAGGCUUUUAAAAACUGAUUAUAGUCAAGCCUGGUGGUGCUUGCCUGAAAUUCAAAUGACUUGGAAGGUAAAGAAAUAAGAAGAUCGAAAGUUAGAAGCCACCUUGGCAACUGGUUGAGACCCUGUCCCCCCCAAAAUAAAAAGUAUUGGGAAUGUACUCAGUGGUAAAGCAACCCUGAGUUCCACCCCAGUACCAAAAAAUAAAAGCUGAUUAUACAUCUACUUCCUUAAAAAGCAAAUAGAAUGGCAAAUAGAACAAAUUUAAAACAGGGUAAAAUUGCUUAAGCAGAGUAAUUAUAACUAUAUAAAUUGAGAAGCCUGGGGAGUUUUGUGGUUAGUAGCUUUUAGUUAAUAACUAGUUCUUACUUUUUUUAAUCAAGUUACGAGGAGACAAUGAUUAUAAUUUUAGAUUCAUGUACCAUUUAAGAGGUUUUUACAUAUUUUUUACUUGUAUAAAGAUGAAAGGGGUUUUUUAAAUUUAGUAGAUGAGAAUAUCUUAUUAAUGGAGAUGACUUCAAAUAAAAGAUGAUGCAGUAUCUUUUUCUUAUGUAGCAAUAUAGUCAGAAAUUAUUAAAAUACUGAGGCAUCCUCAUAGAGAAAUCUGGAAUUUAAGUUCUCCCUAGUAAAUGUAAAUCUUGCCGAAUUGUUUUAAUGUAAGAAAGAGAAUGUGAAUUGAUUUGUAGAUGUUUUUUUCCUGCUAAUACCUGCCCAGAUGGUUCUAUUUCAUUCUACACCCCACCCCCACUAUCAAAACACACGGGAUUGGGGGAAAUUAGUGUUUGAUCCAUUGAGACUUGCAGACAAGACGAGGUUGAUUAUAGAUAAAAAUAAAUUUUUAAGGAAGGCAUUACAUAGAGAAUAUGCCAUCUCAAAAUUUGCCUUUUGGGGCUGGGCCUCAGUGGUAGAGCGCUCACCUAGGAUAUGCAA